CUACGGGGGGCUCCAGUGGGGAAUUUUGGACAAUGGGGGCAACCCUGAUCCAGCCAUGCCGCGUGAGUGAAGAAGGCCUUCGGGUUGUAAAGCUCUUUCAGCCGGGAAGAAAUCGCAUGGGUUAAUACCCUGUGCGGAUGACGGUACCGGAAUAAGAAGCACCGGCUAACUACGUGCCAGCAGCCGCGGUAAUACGUAGGGUGCGAGCGCUAAUCGGAAUUACUGGGCGUAAAGCGUGCGCAGGCGGAUGCUUAAGUCAGAUGUGAAAUCCCCGGGCUUAACCUGGGAAUUGCAUUUGAAACUGGGUGUCUAGAGUGCGUCAGAGGGGGGUGGAAUUCCACGUGUAGCAGUGAAAUGCGUAGAUAUGUGGAGGAACACCAAUGGCGAAGGCAGCCCCCUGGGAUGACACUGACGCUCAUGCACGAAAGCGUGGGGAGCAAACAGGAUUAGAUACCGUGUAGUC
Molecule: ribosomal RNA, 463 nt
Filed under: uncultured bacterium
Lineage: Bacteria
Description: partial 16S ribosomal RNA
Rfam family: Bacterial small subunit ribosomal RNA
Source: RNAcentral